UGUAGUCUCAACGAUGAUGCAUACAUGUCCACUAUGAGUGUUGGGUCCAACAAUUCGCAUUGGUCUCAAACCAAUGACAUCCAUUUCGAAGACCAUGAGUUUGAGGUGGACGAGGAGGGUGAGGGAAUUGUCGAGGCGCCGAAAGGAAGAGCGGGCAAUUACUCAACCAACAAUGACAAGUUACUAUGCCAUACUUAUUUGCAAGUGUCGAGGGAUCCAUCCAUUGGAGGUGAUCAAAGUAGAGACGCGUAUUGGGGGCGAAUGAAAGAACACUUUGAUGCUCACAACUUGAGUGGAAUUGACCGCUCCGAGAGAUCACUUCGGCCCCGAUGGUCGACAAUCAACUCGGAUUGUCAAAAGUGGGCAGCCGUACAAAAGGCAGUUUACAAGAUUAACCCAAGUGGCACAAAUGAGGAUGAUCGAGUAAGUGGCAUCUCAUAUAUGUUCAUCAUACUUGUUUUUGGUGACCGAAGUGCUAACUUGUUUUGUUUUUCUUGUAGUACAACAUUGCACAAAACUUGUUCAAAGAAGAGACAAGGACAACCAAGAAGGGGAAGAUCAAGAAAGGCAGGGUCUUUACCUUGCCUCAUUGCUAUGAAGUGUUAA
This 606-nucleotide ribosomal RNA is filed under the name Triticum aestivum (bread wheat). RNAcentral's name for it is "partial small subunit ribosomal RNA". The record is from RNAcentral. Lineage: Eukaryota; Viridiplantae; Streptophyta; Magnoliopsida; Poales; Poaceae.